AACGCACGAGACCUGCGGACCUGCGGAGGGAUCAUUAUUGAGGUUUUUCUCUAUUUCAGAGACCCUCCCACCCUUUGUCUAUUGACCUGUUGCUUCGGCGAGUCGAUUACUUCAAGUAACCGUCGACUUUUAGUGGGCGUGCACUCGCCGAAGAAUUUUUACUCUUGAUUUUGAAGUUUUUCUUACUCACAAAAAAAAUCAAAACUUUCAACAACGGAUCUCUAGAUCGGAAGAGCACAC
Molecule: unclassified non-coding RNA, 240 nt
Filed under: soil metagenome
Description: partial contains 5.8S ribosomal RNA, internal transcribed spacer 2, and large subunit ribosomal RNA
Source: RNAcentral